RNAcentral lists this ribosomal RNA (253 nucleotides) under uncultured bacterium. Its description in RNAcentral is "partial 16S ribosomal RNA". It matches the Rfam family "Bacterial small subunit ribosomal RNA", at positions 524 to 776 of the family's 1533-position model. The record is from RNAcentral.
UACAGAGGUGGCAAGCGUUGUUCGGAAUUACUGGGCGUAAAGCGUGCGCAGGCGGUUGUGCAAGACCGAUGUGAAAUCCCCGGGCUUAACCUGGGAAUGGCAUUGGUGACUGCACGGCUAGAGUGUGUCAGAGGGGGGUAGAAUUCCACGUGUAGCAGUGAAAUGCGUAGAGAUGUGGAGGAAUACCGAUGGCGAAGGCAGCCCCCUGGGAUAACACUGACGCUCAUGCACGAAAGCGUGGGGAGCAAACAGG